UCCCAAGGGGGAAGCUGACCGUAGUGAUAUUCAGCAAUGAGGUAUGUAGCACUUUUUCUAGGAUGAGUUCACGAACUUAAUGGUCCGAACUUCGUACAUGUUUCUUUGAGAGAUCUGAGUAAAUGGAGCUCCUCUCAGUACCUGGGCAUGGAGACUGGUGAGCAAAACUGGAUGGUAAUACAAAACUCACUUGAAGCCAGGCACGGGUUCAACCAGCUCCAAUGUGGGGCGGUCCCACAUAUGUGGCACCAACUACACUUAGUACCGAUGAUGUUGGAAAGCGGUGUCCCCGGGCUCUCCUUUUGACUGUUAGUUAGCCCGCUGGGACCAGGUCAAGUGUUUGUGUGUCACGCUGCGCUUCUUAAAGUCCCACUGUAAUGCUUCUCGAUCAAUCUCCUUGCAGGCCUACUGCUUGCGUGUGGUGGACAUUUUGAUUAUCCCCAGAUGUGGUUAUAUUUCAUUUCUAGUUUAUGGCAUAGUAAUAAUUUACACGUUACAGGGAUUCCUGGAGAGAGAGGCAUUUUCAGAGUACAAGGGAGCCAUACUUGGUUCAUAGGAGAUGUUUGCCUGACUUGAGGAGCCUAUGGGUUCUACCACACUGAAGUGCUCAGAUGCGUGAAACAAUAAUGCCAACCUUGAAUGGACCAUCCUACAGCAAUCCUGUCUGUCUCUUUGUGUUUUCACAGUUUCCUCUAUAAUUGCUGGGGGUGCUUUUCCCCUGCAAAAGCCCAGGACCUUGAUUUUGAGGAGAGAGCGAAGGUCUGUGUACCUCAAAAGGUAAAGAAGACCAAGCAUUGUGUGUCCAUGCUUCUCUUGGGGCCACCUACAGGCGUUCUGGAACCCUCUGCAGUGACACAGUAGAGCUGCCCCACAGGUUGCCCUUUGCCUCGAGCAACAGAAGAGAUUCAUCUACAUGAGAACCAUUUAUUGGUGAUUAAAUAAAGGAAACAUGAUGCUACCUUCUAAGAGGAAAACUCUGUGGUCUUGAGUAGUUUAUAAUACUAGAGGAAGACAGGGAUCAAUCAAUGGCAGAAGGCCUAUCGUAUGAGGUCUAACAAUUAAGUUGGCGAACUUGUUGCAAUGAUGUCACUUACCUUUUUUGAUAUCAGAGGGAUUAUUCAUUAUGCAUUUGUACCAACUG
Long non-coding RNA from Rhinolophus ferrumequinum (greater horseshoe bat), 1141 nucleotides. RefSeq lists it as uncharacterized. NCBI's taxonomy places the organism in Eukaryota, Metazoa, Chordata, Mammalia, Chiroptera, Rhinolophidae. The transcript is spliced from 4 exons. The record is from RefSeq and is a predicted model, not a curated record.